Molecule: ribosomal RNA, 446 nt
Filed under: uncultured bacterium
Lineage: Bacteria
Description: partial 16S ribosomal RNA
Rfam family: Bacterial small subunit ribosomal RNA
Source: RNAcentral
CCUACGGGGGGCUGCAGUCGAGAAUCAUUCACAAUGGGGGAAACCCUGAUGGUGCGACGCCGCGUGGGGGAAUGAAGGUCUUCGGAUUGUAAACCCCUGUCAUGUGGGAGCAAAUUAAAACGAUCGUACCACAAGAGGAAGAGACGGCUAACUCUGUGCCAGCAGCCGCGGUAAUACAGAGGUCUCAAGCGUUGUUCGGCAUCACUGGGCGUAAAGCGUGCGUAGGCUGUUUCGUAAGUCGUGUGUGAAAGGCGCGGGCUCAACCCGCGGACGGCACAUGAUACUGCGAGACUAGAGUAAGGGAGGGGGAACCGGAAUGCUCGGUGUAGCAGUGAAAUGCGUAGAUAUCGAGAGGAACACUCGUGGCGAAGGCGGGUUCCUGGACAUUAACUGACGCUGAGGCACGAAGGCCAGGGGAGCGAAAGGGAUUAGAUACCCCUGUAGUC